This 334-nucleotide unclassified non-coding RNA is filed under the name soil metagenome. RNAcentral describes it as "partial contains 5.8S ribosomal RNA, internal transcribed spacer 2, and large subunit ribosomal RNA". The stretch from base 1 to 120 matches the Rfam family "5.8S ribosomal RNA", at positions 35 to 154 of the family's 154-position model. The record is from RNAcentral.
GAUGAAGAACGUAGCGAAAUGCGAUAAGUAAUGUGAAUUGCAGAAUUCAGUGAAUCAUCGAAUCUUUGAACGCACAUUGCGCCUGCCAGUAUUCUGGCGGGCAUGCCUGUUCGAGCGUCAUUUCAACCAUCAAGCCCCCGGCUUGUGUUGGGGACCUGCGGCUGCCGCAGGCCCUGAAAUGCAGUGGCGGGCUCGCUGUCACUCCGAGCGUAGUAGUUACAUCUCGCUCUGGGCGUGCUGCGGGUUCCGGCCGUUAAAAGCCUUAUUUACCCAAGGUUGACCUCGGAUCAGGUAGGAAGACCCGCUGAACUUAAGCAUAUCAAUAAGCGGAGGA